Long non-coding RNA from Gossypium raimondii (Peruvian cotton), 269 nucleotides. RefSeq lists it as uncharacterized. The record is from RefSeq and is a predicted model, not a curated record. The transcript has 3 exons. Lineage: Eukaryota; Viridiplantae; Streptophyta; Magnoliopsida; Malvales; Malvaceae.
CUACCGGUGAUCGUGGGGGUCGGGUGGUUUUGUUUGAAAGGACUGACACUCAAGACCAUGUUGGACAUCGAAGAGAUCUAGAGAAGAUGGAUUAUCCAAUCAAUAGGCAUCCUGAGUUUCACUAUAAAACAGAGUUUCAGAGCCACGAACCUGAGUUUGACUAUCUGAAGAGCUUGGAAAUUGAGGAGAAAAUUAACAAAAUUAGGUGGUGCCAGUCAUCUAAUGGUGCUCUUUUUCUUUUGUCGACAAAUGAUAGAACAAUAAAGUUA